ACUGAAUGGAGGACCGAACCGACUUACGUUGAAAAGUGAGCGGAUGAACUGAGGGUAGCGGAGAAAUUCCAAUCGAACCUGGAGAUAGCUGGUUCUCUCCGAAAUAGCUUUAGGGCUAGCCUCAAGUGAUGAUUAUUGGAGGUAGAGCACUGUUUGGACGAGGGGCCCCUCUCGGGUUACCGAAUUCAGACAAACUCCGAAUGCCAAUUAAUUUAACUUGGGAGUCAGAACAUGGGUGAUAAGGUCCGUGUUCGAAAGGGAAACAGCCCAGACCACCAGCUAAGGUCCCAAAAUAUAUGUUAAGUGGAAAAGGAUGUGGCGUUGCCCAGACAACUAGGAUGUUGGCUUAGAAGCAGCCAUCAUUUAAAGAGUGCGUAAUAGCUCACUAGUCGAGUGACACUGCGCCGAAAAUGUACCGGGGCUAAACAUAUUACCGAAGCUGUGGAUUGUCCUUUGGACAAUGGUAGGAGAGCGUUCUAAGGGCGUUGAAGCAUGAUCGUAAGGACAUGUGGAGCGCUUAGAAGUGAGAAUGCCGGUGUGAGUAGCGAA
This 549-nucleotide ribosomal RNA is filed under the name Staphylococcus aureus. Its description in RNAcentral is "partial 23S ribosomal RNA". It matches the Rfam family "Bacterial large subunit ribosomal RNA", at positions 761 to 1313 of the family's 2925-position model. The record is from RNAcentral. Lineage: Bacteria; Bacillati; Bacillota; Bacilli; Caryophanales; Staphylococcaceae.